AGUAACCAAACUCCAUCCGACCACCUUUUGAAUUUCAGCUGAGCUUCUACAGUAAGCAAAUUCCGUCUGAACUUCUAUUGCAAGCAGACUUCAACUGAGCUUCUACAAUAAGCGAUCUCCAUCCAAGCUUCCACGGCAAUCGAUCUCCAUCCAAGCUUCUACAGUAAGCGGCCUCCUUCCAGACUUCUGUAAGAAUCGAACUUCGUCUAAACUUCUACAGC
RNAcentral lists this long non-coding RNA (221 nucleotides) under Elaeis guineensis (African oil palm). Its description in RNAcentral is "long non-coding RNA (EGUI_LNC056840)". Lineage: Eukaryota; Viridiplantae; Streptophyta; Magnoliopsida; Arecales; Arecaceae. The record is from RNAcentral.